AAUAGAUACCCUGGUAGUCCACACCGUAAACGAUGGAUACUAGCUGUUUGAGCGCAAGUUUGAGUGGCUAAGCGAAAGUGAUAAGUAUCCCACCUGGGGAGUACGGGCGCAAGCCUGAAACUCAAAGGAAUUGACGGGGGCCCGCACAAGCGGUGGAGCAUGUGGUUUAAUUCGAUGAUACGCGAGGAACCUUACCAGGGCUUAAAUGUAGAUUGACGUAUUUGGAAACAGAUAUUUCUUCGGACAAUUUACAAGGUGCUGCAUGGUUGUCGUCAGCUCGUGCCGUGAGGUGUCAGGUUAAGUCCUAUAACGAGCGCAACCCCUGUUGUUAGUUGCCAGCGAGUAAUGUCGGGAACUCUAGCAAGACUGCCAGUGUAAACUGUGAGGAAGUGGGGAUGACGUCAAAUCAUCACGGCCCUUACGUCCUGGGCCACACACGUGCUACAAUGGCCGGUACAGAGAGCAGCCACUUAGCGAUAAGGAGCGAAUCUAUAAAGCCGGUCACAGUUCGGA
Molecule: ribosomal RNA, 513 nt
Filed under: uncultured bacterium
Lineage: Bacteria
Description: bacterial SSU rRNA
Rfam family: Bacterial small subunit ribosomal RNA
Source: RNAcentral